AUCUGUAGUUCAGUGGCAGAACGUCAGCUUCCCAAGCUGAAUAUGCGAGUUCGAUUCUCGUCAGGU
RNAcentral lists this transfer RNA (66 nucleotides) under chicken gut metagenome. It matches the Rfam family "tRNA". Rfam says of the family: Transfer RNA (tRNA) molecules are approximately 80 nucleotides in length. Their secondary structure includes four short double-helical elements and three loops (D, anti-codon, and T loops). Further hydrogen bonds mediate the characteristic L-shaped molecular structure. tRNAs have two regions of fundamental functional importance: the anti-codon, which is responsible for specific mRNA codon recognition, and the 3' end, to which the tRNAs corresponding amino acid is attached (by aminoacyl-tRNA synthetases). tRNAs cope with the degeneracy of the genetic code in two manners: having more than one tRNA (with a specific anti-codon) for a particular amino acid; and 'wobble' base-pairing, i.e. permitting non-standard base-pairing at the 3rd anti-codon position. The record is from RNAcentral.